GAUAAUAGUUAACAGUUAUGCCAAACUGUAGUUAAUGCACGAUCGGUGCAAUUGCUGCCGUGUAUUGCCCGUGUGGGAUGGUUACUACAUUGUUAAUGCACGACCAAUCUAUACCACGUAAUUGGGUAGUUCUAUAUACACCCCCCUAUUGCUCAGGACACCCCCCAAAAACCAAAAAAAAAUACCCAAACUAACCUUUAGUGUAAUUACCAUAUUGCCCUUGAAAUUUUCUCAUACACCCCCCCCUUCCUCCUCCUCCGUUUCGUUUUGAAAAGAAAAAAAAACACCCCUCAAACCCCCCUUAAACCCCUCGAUCCAUUUACAUCAUUUAGGCGAUCUUUGAAGGAGAUUUAAGCCCCAUUCGAAGCAUGGACAAGCAACUAGUGAUUUGGGACGAAGAAUCGGCUGCAAAGGUACGUGUUCCACCUUGUUUCGAUUUUUUUUUUUUUCACGGUUCGUGCUCCGUUCGGCACUGGAUCGCCGAACAAAAGGCUUCUGUUCGGCUGAACAGUGCCGAACAGAAGCCUUCUGUUCGGCAACCCUCAACCGAACAGAUCUGUUCGGCU
RNAcentral lists this long non-coding RNA (566 nucleotides) under Phoenix dactylifera (date palm). RNAcentral's name for it is "long non-coding RNA (PDAC_LNC005054)". Lineage: Eukaryota; Viridiplantae; Streptophyta; Magnoliopsida; Arecales; Arecaceae. The record is from RNAcentral.